This 730-nucleotide long non-coding RNA is filed under the name Olea europaea (common olive). Its description in RNAcentral is "long non-coding RNA (OEUR_LNC004933)". The record is from RNAcentral. Lineage: Eukaryota; Viridiplantae; Streptophyta; Magnoliopsida; Lamiales; Oleaceae.
UUUUGAUGAUGAAAGAGUUUUUGCCAUUUUAGUGAAUGUUUUGGACUCUGUGCUUGUGGGUUUUGUUAGAUCUGCAAGAGGAAAAUCAAUAAAAGAAGAUAUUUGCUAUAAUUAUGUUGAGUUUUCUUACUUUAAGCCCUUUUCUCCUUUGACAUAUUUGAUUUUUUUGGGGUUUUAUUUUUCACUGAUUUUGAUCAGAUCUUAUGUUUUGAUAGUUCAUUUAUGUGCUGAUCUAUCUAAUUUUCAAGUUUUAUUUUUCACUUCUUUAAAAUUCUUUUCUUGUUUUAGUUGUUAACUUACAAAAGAGUUGAUUUUGAAUCUGAUCUUGUCUAAUGGCCUUCUUGACCUAAGAUCCCCUUUUUCAAGAAUAGGUGGUUUGAGAAUAUGUUGUCUUUGAAAGAAUGUUAUUGUUACUGAUUUUCAUUCAACCAGCUUGAUGAUUCAUCUAGAGAGAAUUGGUUAUGUUUUGUCUAAGGAUUUCAACUUUUAGGGUUUUCAAUUAUACUUUCUUCUUCUUCUUCCUCUUUUUUUUCCCCCUUUUCCUUUUAUGAAGAAAAAUAUCAUUUUCUCUCUUUAUUAUGUUUUGUCUAAGGAUUUCAACUUUUAGGGUUUUCAAUUAUACUUUCUUCUUCUUCUUCUUCUUUUUUUUUUUUUUCCUUUUCCUUUUCUGAAGAAAAAUAUCAUUUUCUCUCUUUAUUUCCUGUUUAAUGCUUUUCUUCCUUACACUUCC